Molecule: ribosomal RNA, 464 nt
Filed under: Vreelandella stevensii
Lineage: Bacteria; Pseudomonadati; Pseudomonadota; Gammaproteobacteria; Oceanospirillales; Halomonadaceae
Description: partial 16S ribosomal RNA
Rfam family: Bacterial small subunit ribosomal RNA
Source: RNAcentral
CCUAGGGGGGCUGCAGUGGGGAAUAUUGGACAAUGGGCGAAAGCCUGAUCCAGCCAUGCCGCGUGUGUGAAGAAGGCCUUCGGGUUGUAAAGCACUUUCAGUGGGGAAGAAAGCCUUGGGGCUAAUACCCUCGAGGAAGGACAUCACCCACAGAAGAAGCACCGGCUAACUCCGUGCCAGCAGCCGCGGUAAUACGGAGGGUGCGAGCGUUAAUCGGAAUUACUGGGCGUAAAGCGCGCGUAGGCGGUCUGAUAAGCCGGUUGUGAAAGCCCCGGGCUCAACCUGGGAACGGCAUCCGGAACUGUCAGGCUAGAGUGCAGGAGAGGAAGGUAGAAUUCCCGGUGUAGCGGUGAAAUGCGUAGAGAUCGGGAGGAAUACCAGUGGCGAAGGCGGCCUUCUGGACUGACACUGACGCUGAGGUGCGAAAGCGUGGGUAGCAAACAGGAUUAGAUACCCCAGUAGUC